This 318-nucleotide ribosomal RNA is filed under the name uncultured bacterium. RNAcentral describes it as "bacterial SSU rRNA". It matches the Rfam family "Bacterial small subunit ribosomal RNA", at positions 355 to 665 of the family's 1533-position model. The record is from RNAcentral.
UGGGGAAUUUUGGACAAUGGGCGCAAGCCUGAUCCAGCCAUGCCGCGUGCAGGAUGAAGGCCCUCGGGUUGUAAACUGCUUUUGUACGGAACGAAAAGCCUCUUUCUAAUAAAGAGGGGUGAUGACGGUACCGUAAGAAUAAGCACCGGCUAACUACGUGCCAGCAGCCGCGGUAAUACGUAGGGUGCGAGCGUUAAUCGGAAUUACUGGGCGUAAAGCGUGCGCAGGCGGUCUGUUAAGUCUGCUGUGAAAUCCCCGGGCUCAACCUGGGAAUGGCAGGCGAAACGGGCGGGCUAGAGUACGGUAGAGGAUGGUGGA